This 497-nucleotide ribosomal RNA is filed under the name uncultured bacterium. Its description in RNAcentral is "partial 16S ribosomal RNA". It matches the Rfam family "Bacterial small subunit ribosomal RNA", at positions 28 to 507 of the family's 1533-position model. The record is from RNAcentral.
GAUGAACGCUGGCGGCGUGCCUAAUACAUGCAAGUCGAGCGAACGGACGAGAAGCUUGCUUCUCUGAUGUUAGCGGCGGACGGGUGAGUAACACGUGGAUAACCUACCUAUAAGACUGGGAUAACUUCGGGAAACCGGAGCUAAUACCGGAUAAUAUUUUGAACCGCAUGGUUCAAAAGUGAAAGACGGUCUUGCUGUCACUUAUAGAUGGAUCCGCGCUGCAUUAGCUAGUUGGUAAGGUAACGGCUUACCAAGGCAACGAUGCAUAGCCGACCUGAGAGGGUGAUCGGCCACACUGGAACUGAGACACGGUCCAGACUCCUACGGGAGGCAGCAGUAGGGAAUCUUCCGCAAUAGGCGAAAGCCUGACGGAGCAACGCCGCGUGAGUGAUGAAGGUCUUCGGAUCGUAAAACUCUGUUAUUAGGGAAGAACAUAUGUGUAAGUAACUGUGCACAUAUUGACGGUACCUAAUCAGAAAGCCACGGCUAACUACGUG